This 210-nucleotide ribosomal RNA is filed under the name uncultured bacterium. RNAcentral's name for it is "partial 16S ribosomal RNA". It matches the Rfam family "Bacterial small subunit ribosomal RNA", at positions 589 to 793 of the family's 1533-position model. The record is from RNAcentral.
CAGAUGUGAAAGACCCGGGGCGUCAACCUCGGAAUUGCAUUUGAAACUAGGCAAACUAGAGUACUGUAGAGGGGGUAGGAAUUUCAGGUGUAGCGGUGAAAUAGCGUAGAGAUCUGAAGGAAUACCGGUGGCGAAGGCGGCCCCCUCGGACAGAUACUGACACUCAGAUGCGAAAGCGUGGGGAGCAAACAGGAUUAGAUACCCUGGUAG